GUUAUUCAUGGAGCGACCGUAGAAAACACUCUAUUUGAGGACGGUGAUGGUGCAAAUACCUUCCGUGCUUUUAACCCAACUCAAGCUGAAGAAACUUAUUCAAUGGUCACUGCUAACCGCUUUUGGGCAGAAGUUUUUACUGGUUCUCCAGGAAAGUAUGUUGCUCUUGCGGAAACUAUUAGGGGAUUUCAACUAAUCCUUUCCGGAGAAUUAGACGGCCUACCUGAACAGGUGACGUCAAAGUACCAGUGA
RNAcentral lists this ribosomal RNA (252 nucleotides) under Triticum aestivum (bread wheat). RNAcentral's name for it is "partial small subunit ribosomal RNA". Lineage: Eukaryota; Viridiplantae; Streptophyta; Magnoliopsida; Poales; Poaceae. The record is from RNAcentral.